This is a long non-coding RNA of Alligator mississippiensis (American alligator), 688 nucleotides long. RefSeq lists it as uncharacterized. NCBI's taxonomy places the organism in Eukaryota, Metazoa, Chordata, Crocodylia, Alligatoridae. The transcript has 3 exons. The record is from RefSeq and is a predicted model, not a curated record.
UCACUGCUGGUAGGCUAGGUAGUAACAUGGUCUGGCUGCAAGGCUGAAUGCAACACCCUGGCGGUUGGUGGACUUCCUACAUAGAGCUUUAAACUAGGUUCAUCGGGGGAUGGGGAUGUCAAAGACAGGGCGAAACCAGGAAAGGCAGCCAUGAACCACAUGCAGGAAUAGACUAGAAAAUACAUGCUCAAGAAGCAUAUGAAGUAGUCCUCAACUGAUGCGAUUAGGAACUAGCACGUGUGACUUCUUUGUAAAAUCUGUAAUGCACUGUCUGGAGAGGAAACCAAAACUUUCAACAUGCCAGCACAAAAGAAAGUUUACUAGAGAUAGAUAUUCCCUUAGGAAGCACAACAGAUAAUGUUUACUAGAGAGAGAUUCUCAUUGGAAAGAGAUUCCAUUUGGGCAUACAUUGUACAUGGAAAACUCUCUAAACAAACAGAGCAAAAGAUCAAUAUUGAAUUUAAAAAAAUUUAAAAAACCCACUACCAACCACUCAGGAUCCUAUUGAGACAAUUGUUCUGCUUCUGCGGCCCUUCUCUUCUUUGUGCUCUUAUGUUGCCAUUCAAAAUCUCUCUCUUACUUAUGGGAUUUACCAAGAAGUUAUAAAAGACUUCAUAGUCAAAAAUAUGACUGACUGUAAUAUUAUUUUAUGUCAAGUUAACCUAUUGACUUAUAAAAUAAAUUAUUU